Molecule: ribosomal RNA, 253 nt
Filed under: uncultured bacterium
Lineage: Bacteria
Description: partial 16S ribosomal RNA
Rfam family: Bacterial small subunit ribosomal RNA
Source: RNAcentral
UACAGAGGUCUCAACCGUUGUUCGGAUUCAUUGGGCGUAAAGGGUGCGUAGGCGGUCGUGUAAGUCGGAUGUGAAAUCCCGGGGCUCAACCCCGGAACUGCAUUCGAUACUGCAUGGCUAGGGUACUGGAGAGGAAACUGGAAUUUACGGUGUAGCAGUGAAAUGCGUAGAUAUCGUAAGGAAGACCAGUGGCGAAGGCGGGUCUCUGGACAGUUCCUGACGCUGAGGCACGAAGGUCAGGGGAGCAAACGGG